AUUUCAAACACAAAAAAAAAAAAAGAAUCGGCGGAGUACCUGACUUAAUCAGAAAAAAAAAUGGUUGUGUUCUUCUCGUCUCGUGUGGUGGCUGGCAUCACCAGGAAAGUGACACCCUCGUCCUUGAAGUUGACGAGCUAGCUAGUGUGCUCUCUCGUCUCUCCGUGGAUGAUCUGAUGGAUGUAUCUUUCUACUUUAUUGAAACUAAAAAAAAUUAUCUGCGAGAAGAAAAUAGGCAGGUCGAUCUUCUACUGCCAUUUUGUUAUUUUAUUCUACGUGCGUUAUGUGGGGAGGAGAAAGAUUGUAUUUUGCCUUUAUGUGCACGUACGCGCUUGUUUAUUUUUUGUUGAAUCAAAGAAGGAAAACAAAGGAGAGGAAGGGUGGCUUCAUUUUUUCCGCUAACAUAAGGUCUGCCUGCAUCAGAACCUGACUGAUCAAAACAUCAAGUCAUGGUUACGUGAUGGUGAAAUGACAUGGCACCUAGUUCUGUAGCCCAGCUGCUAGCUUGACAAGGAUGUGGAGAUGGGUAGCAAGGGAAGCUCAACUCAACCACGUACGUACGUACGUGGCUCGUCACGCACCUUUGGUGAACUUUUCAGGGUUU
Molecule: unclassified non-coding RNA, 604 nt
Filed under: Zea mays
Lineage: Eukaryota; Viridiplantae; Streptophyta; Magnoliopsida; Poales; Poaceae
Description: misc RNA Zm00001eb026720
Source: RNAcentral